AAGCAGGGGAUCGCAAGACCUUGCGCUUUUGGAGUGGCCGAUGCCUGAUUAGCUAGUUGGUGGGGUAAGGGCCUACCAAGGCGACGAUCAGUAGUUGGUCUGAGAGGACGACCAGCCACACUGGGACUGAGACACGGCCCAGACUCCUACGGGAGGCAGCAGUGGGGAAUUUUGGACAAUGGGCGAAAGCCUGAUCCAGCAAUGCCGCGUGAGUGAAGAAGGCCUUCGGGUUGUAAAGCUCUUUCAGUCGAGAAGAAAAGGUCGCGACUAAUAAUCGCGACUCAUGACGGUAUCGACAGAAGAAGCACCGGCUAACUACGUGCCAGCAGCCGCGGUAAUACGUAGGGUGCGAGCGUUAAUCGGAAUUACUGGGCGUAAAGGGUGCGCAGGCGGCUUUGUAAGUCAGAUGUGAAAUCCCCGGGCUUAACCUGGAAUUGCGUUUGAAACUACAAAGCUUAGA
Molecule: ribosomal RNA, 460 nt
Filed under: uncultured ammonia-oxidizing beta proteobacterium
Lineage: Bacteria; Pseudomonadati; Pseudomonadota; Betaproteobacteria
Description: bacterial SSU rRNA
Rfam family: Bacterial small subunit ribosomal RNA
Source: RNAcentral